This is a long non-coding RNA of Neopsephotus bourkii (Bourke's parrot), 719 nucleotides long. RefSeq lists it as uncharacterized. The record is from RefSeq and is a predicted model, not a curated record. NCBI's taxonomy places the organism in Eukaryota, Metazoa, Chordata, Aves, Psittaciformes, Psittacidae. The transcript has 3 exons.
CUCAUCCUGGCUCGGUGCGACCCGGCUGGGUCCGGGCGCGCUGUCAUGACAUGGAGCGAUAAGCGGCUUGUCCAGCAUUAUCAUUGGAGGUAAGAACUGGCCAGUGCAUUUCUUGUGAUGCCCCAAGGUGUCUCAAGCCAUCUCCAAAUGCAUCUCCAUGCCUGUCUUACCCACAGAGGCCAGCAAGCAAGGACAGGGAGGGUUUGCAAAAGGCUCUUCACACCCAGCUCCCCAGAACUACUUGGGGAGAGGAAGACCCCCAAGCCUCACCCAUGGAUCAAGGACAGGCUUUAAAGGAGCACCAUUCCUACCAGGCCAAUGGAGGGGGUGGUGAAAAGACCCAGUGCAAUCUAACAACUUUGCAACUCAAGAUAAAUUAAUAAAAGAAGUAAGUACUUCUGAGUGAGCUGUUCCAGUUCUGAGAGGAACUGACGCCAGCCCAGCCUCUGGCCCUAUAUUUAGUAAAAAUCUAAACCAGACAUUGAUAAUAUUAUUAAAGACAGGAAGGAGUAAAAGAAGACGUCGCCUUGCUGGGAUGACUGAUCUACUUACGCACGACGGCGGGAGUGCUGAGAGAAAGGUGUCUCGGGUCAGGAGAGCCUCUGCUGGGCUCUCAACCAGCGGAAGAAGACUUCUGACACAGCAGGUUCAAGCAGUCCUAACCCAGUUUAACAAGUGGUAUGGGAGGGAGAGGUGGUGAAUAAAACAUGGGCUGCUUC